Molecule: ribosomal RNA, 595 nt
Filed under: uncultured Bacteroidota bacterium
Lineage: Bacteria; Pseudomonadati; Bacteroidota
Description: bacterial SSU rRNA
Rfam family: Bacterial small subunit ribosomal RNA
Source: RNAcentral
CAACCUGCCCACCACUUGGGGAUAACCUUGCGAAAGUAAGACUAAUACCCAAUGACGUCUCUAGAAGACAUCUGAAAGAGAUUAAAGAUUUAUCGGUGAUGGAUGGGGAUGCGUCUGAUUAGCUUGUUGGCGGGGUAACGGCCCACCAAGGCGACGAUCAGUAGGGGUUCUGAGAGGAAGGUCCCCCACAUUGGAACUGAGACACGGUCCAAACUCCUACGGGAGGCAGCAGUGAGGAAUAUUGGUCAAUGGACGAGAGUCUGAACCAGCCAAGUAGCGUGCAGGAUGACGGCCCUAUGGGUUGUAAACUGCUUUUAUAAGGGAAUAAAGUGAGUCUCGUGAGGCUUUUUGCAUGUACCUUAUGAAUAAGGACCGGCUAAUUCCGUGCCAGCAGCCGCGGUAAUACGGAAGGUCCGGGCGUUAUCCGGAUUUAUUGGGUUUAAAGGGAGCGUAGGCCGGAGAUUAAGCGUGUUGUGAAAUGUAGAUGCUCAACAUCUGCACUGCAGCGCGAACUGGUUUCCUUGAGUACGCACAAAGUGGGCGGAAUUCGUGGUGUAGCGGUGAAAUGCUUAGAUAUCACGAAGAACUCCGAUUG